RNAcentral lists this ribosomal RNA (241 nucleotides) under Salmonella enterica subsp. enterica serovar Infantis. RNAcentral's name for it is "partial 23S ribosomal RNA". It matches the Rfam family "Bacterial large subunit ribosomal RNA", at positions 1 to 242 of the family's 2925-position model. Lineage: Bacteria; Pseudomonadati; Pseudomonadota; Gammaproteobacteria; Enterobacterales; Enterobacteriaceae. RNAcentral also lists the same sequence under 18 other names. The record is from RNAcentral.
GGUUAAGCGACUAAGCGUACACGGUGGAUGCCCUGGCAGUCAGAGGCGAUGAAGGACGUGCUAAUCUGCGAUAAGCGCCGGUAAGGUGAUAUGAACCGUUAUAACCGGCGAUUUCCGAAUGGGGAAACCCAGUGUGACUCGUCACACUAUCAUUAACUGAAUCCAUAGGUUAAUGAGGCGAACCGGGGGAACUGAAACAUCUAAGUACCCCGAGGAAAAGAAAUCAACCGAGAUUCCCCCA